Molecule: ribosomal RNA, 506 nt
Filed under: uncultured bacterium
Lineage: Bacteria
Description: bacterial SSU rRNA
Rfam family: Bacterial small subunit ribosomal RNA
Source: RNAcentral
AGAGUUUGAUCAUGGCUCAGGAUGAACGCUGGCGGCGUGCUUAACACAUGCGAGUCGAACGAUGAUGCCAGCUUGCUGGUGGAUUAGUGGCGAACGGGUGAGUAACACGUGAGUAACCUGCCCUUAACUCUGGGAUAAGCCUGGGAAACUGGGUCUAAUACCGGAUAUGACUGGUCAUCGCAUGGUGGUUGGUGGAAAGCUUUUUUGUGGUUUUGGAUGGACUCGCGGCCUAUCAGCUUGUGGUUUGGGGAAUGGCUUACCAAGGCGACGACGGGGUAGCCGGCCUGAGAGGGUGACCGGCCACACUGGGACUGAGACACGGCCCAGACUCCUACGGGAGGCAGCAGUGGGGAAUAUUGCACAAUGGGCGCAAGCCUGAUGCAGCGACGCCGCGUGAGGGAUGACGGCCUUCCGGGUUGUAAACCUCUUUCAGUAGGGAAGAAGCGUAAGUGACGGYACCUGCAGAAGAAGCGCCGGCUAACUACGUGCCAGCMGCCGCGGUAAUA